GAUGAACGCUGGCGGCGCGCCUAAUACAUGCAAGUCGAGCGAACAGACGAGGAGCUUGCUCCUCUGACGUUAGCGGCGGACGGGUGAGUAACACGUGGAUAACCUACCUAUAAGACUGGGAUAACUUCGGGAAACCGGAGCUAAUACCGGAUAAUAUAUUGAACCGCAUGGUUCAAUAGUGAAAGACGGUUUUGCUGUCACUUAUAGAUGGAUCCGCGCCGCAUUAGCUAGUUGGUAAGGUAACGGCUUACCAAGGCACGAUGCGUAGCCGACCUGAGAGGGUGAUCGGCCACACUGGAACUGAGACACGGUCCAGACUCCUACGGGAGGCAGCAGUAGGGAAUCUUCCGCAAUGGGCGAAAGCUUGACGGAGCAACGCCGCGUGAGUGAUGAAGGUCUUCGGAUCGUAAAACUCUGUUAUUAGGGAAGAACAAAUGUGUAAGUAACUAUGCACGUCUUGACGGUACCUAAUCAGAAAGCCACGGCUAACUACGUG
Molecule: ribosomal RNA, 496 nt
Filed under: uncultured bacterium
Lineage: Bacteria
Description: partial 16S ribosomal RNA
Rfam family: Bacterial small subunit ribosomal RNA
Source: RNAcentral